AUUGAACGCUGGCGGCAUGCCUAACACAUGCAAGUCGAACGGCAGCACAGCAGUAGCAAUACUGUGGGUGGCGAGUGGCGGACGGGUGAGGAAUACGUCGGAAUCUGCCCAGUCGUGGGGGAUAACUAGCCGAAAGGUUAGCUAAUACCGCAUACGACCGAGAGGUGAAAGCGGGGACCGCAAGGCCUCGCGCGAUUGGAUGAGCCGACGUCGGAUUAGCUAGUUGGCGGGUAAAGGCCCACCAAGGCGACGAUCCGUAGCUGGUCUGAGAGGAUGAUCAGCCACACUGGAACUGAGACACGGUCCAGACUCCUACGGGAGGCAGCGGUGGGGAAUAUUGGACAAUGGGCGCAAGCCUGAUCCAGCAAUGCCGCGUGUGUGAAGAAGGCCU
This 391-nucleotide ribosomal RNA is filed under the name uncultured bacterium. RNAcentral describes it as "bacterial SSU rRNA". It matches the Rfam family "Bacterial small subunit ribosomal RNA", at positions 29 to 417 of the family's 1533-position model. The record is from RNAcentral.